Molecule: long non-coding RNA, 2410 nt
Filed under: Homo sapiens (human)
Lineage: Eukaryota; Metazoa; Chordata; Mammalia; Primates; Hominidae
Description: HSALNT0323082
Source: RNAcentral
AUGGUUUCCUCAGAGAUGAGGCUUAAAGGAUUCCUAAGGUAAUUUUGGAAGAAGAUGCUAAUGCUAGAAGGUACAGAUGCAGAACAAGCAGGGCAUUCAUUCACUUUCUCUCUGUUCUAUGCACAGGAAUUCAAAAAUACCAAGGCAAAAUUACUGUCCCAAGAAAUUAACUGUUUCAUAGUUAAGAAAGGCAAAAAGAAGAAUGGAUAUAAGAUAGGAGAUGGAGGAUUUUCAGAAUAUGAUGACUGAAUCUAGAUGUAGGUGGUAAAGAAUGAUAAUCAGAUUGUUAUUUCUUAAACAAAGGGAAAACUAGUAGUAAAAUUGUAAGUGGAAAGAUCACAGGACUCUAUCCUUGCCAACUGUUUAGAUGACUAUGGAAAGCAGUUUCCCUCUGAAAUCUGGAUUUCAAGCCCCCUGAGAGAACUUUGUUCCAGGACUUAAAGGGUACUAAAAGAAAAAUUGAGUCUUGUCCUACCAGGUGAAAUGUCCCAGUGAACUAGCAAGAAAAUGAAAUCGAGGAAUCAGUGAUUGGAGUUAGAGGGAAAACAAGCCUAGAAGAUACUCUUUAACAUAUGUAAACCUGCUUAAGCUAAGUGAGUAACCAGACACUGUGUGUCUAUAAUUUAUCUCUUGUAUAUAAAUUGUAUCCCACAAUCCCUCCCUCUGAGAUAAAAAUAGUCAUGCACACAAACUGACAAGACCUGUUCUGUAUUUCAGUGAGCCCUGUGAAGGAGGGACACCUUCAAAGAAGAAAAAGUAUAAUGACUACCAGCGUAUGGGCCCUAACAACACAGAGACAAAUAUAAUCUUGUACAUUUUAGCACUCAAUAAAUGUCAUGGUAAUGGAAUAGGGAGGAGAGCUACAGAUGUUCAAUUUUUCCAAAGCAGAGAUAUUCAAGAGCUAUACUGUGAGAACUCAGCCAGAAUAAAAAGUAAUUGUUUGGGAACUUGUUGGGGAACAUUAAUCAGAGACAACUGAGGCACAAGUCUGUAAAGCUCCCUAGAAAACACAGAAAUUGAACUGGGAUUUGUUUGCACAAGAGAGCAGGUUUUGAGGAUAUCACAAAUUAUCUUUAGAAAGACUUAAAGCUUUAUGUUUCCCCUUUACCCUUCAACAAUUCUUGGAAAACUGUCUCCUUUCAGAGGUAGAGGUGUUAUUUAUUCCUGGAUUCUCAGUGGAAAAUAAAUGGUAUUAGUAGGCAUGGUGAAGAAAGAAGCAUAUGGCUUCAAGAUUACUUGAUUGCCACACUGUGAUGUCAGUGAUCUUGCCAUAGUUUUUUGGUUUUGAUAGCUAGGUUUAUCCCAUAGCUCCUCAAAUCCAUGCCUAGAUUGUGACCAUUCUUAACCAGGUCAUGUAGCUAGCACAUGGUAAAGAAUUAUUUUGUGUCAUCUAGAAUGUAAAAUUUGAACUAUUCUGUAGAGGUUUCCAGGAAACGUUUUAAGAUAAAUUUAAGAAAGAAGUCUCUAAGGAGUCUUAGAGUUUUAUGUAGUUGACAUGACCUGUCUAGUGAAAUAGUGGACUCCAUGUUAUCAGAGUUAUUCAUGAAGAAGCCGGAAUAUCUACUUACCAGGAAGUGACAGAAAUUUCUUGCAUUUAGUAAGAAGGUUGUUAGAGGACACCUAAGGCUUUGUCAAAUCUUGCUUCCUAAUUGUGGGGCUACAUGGUGGUGCUUAGAGUGGGAUAAGUGGAAAGAGGCCUAGUGCUUACUUAAAAGAGCUGUGGUAUAGACUGAUUGCUCACACCAACAAAAUAAACAAACCUACGCAAUGUUUAUAAAACUAUGUAGUUCAGAAUUCAAGGAAGUUGUCCAAAUUUCAAGACCCAGACAGUUAAGCUCAGGAGCUUAACUUACAAAGCCAAGAAAGAAUUUAAAAAUCACGUCAAAUCCAGAAACAGGAGGAAGAAAAAAAGCUGGUGUUAUCAUUUACAGACAAAUUCUAACAGAGGAGCAGGCCAUAAAAGCUUGGGAAAAAACAUUUUAAAGUGUCCAGCUGCCUCUGGUUUAUGUGAAGAAAGAAGAUGAAAAAUGAGAAGGCAGGAUCGGUAACCACUUUACCUACAAUGGUUAGAGAAGGCGAGAAUUGGAAUCUGAAUGCUAAGAAGAGGCAGCUAAGAGAAGAUCUGAAAAUCAAACAUUUCUAACAGAAGGCACAGAAAGGGUUCCCAGGAAUCUCAAGAAGUAUCAAAGAACUGAGACUUACCAGAUCACCACACCCAGAUAAUGAGUUGCCGACCCCUCAUUCAUCGUGACUGCUUCCUUGCCCCUUCCCAGUUCCUGCUUUCUUAUACAUUGUUACGUUUCUUCCCUGCUGUCUAAACUCUUACUUUUGGUGGGUCAGGAGAUGGAUUAGAGACUGAUCUCCCAUCUCCUGGGCUGCAGCACCCGAUUAAAGCCUUCUUCCUUGGCAA